Molecule: ribosomal RNA, 460 nt
Filed under: uncultured bacterium
Lineage: Bacteria
Description: partial 16S ribosomal RNA
Rfam family: Bacterial small subunit ribosomal RNA
Source: RNAcentral
CCUACGGGAGGCUGCAGUGAGGAAUAUUGGUCAAUGGGCUUAAGUCUGAACCAGCCAAGUCGCGUGCGGGAAGACUGCCCUAUGGGUUGUAAACUUCUUUUGUCAGGGAGUAACGCUGACUACGUGUAGCCGGCUUGAGAGUCUCUGAAGAUAAAGCACCGGCAACUUCCGUGCCAGAACCCGCGGAAUUACGGAGGAUUCGAGCGUUAUCCGGAUUUAUUGGGUUUAAAGGGUGCGUAGGCGGAAUGCAAAGUCAGCGGUAAAAUCGCGGGGCUCAACCGCGCUCCGCCGGUGAUACUGGCGUUCUUGAGUGGGCGUGAAGUAGGCGGAAUGCGUGGUGUAGCGGUGAAAUGCAUAGAUAUCACGCAGAACACCGAUUGCGAAGGCAGCAUACCGGCGCCCAACUGACGCUGAGGCACGAAAGCGUGGGGAGCGAACAGGAUUAGAUACCCCAGUAGUC